This 253-nucleotide ribosomal RNA is filed under the name uncultured bacterium. RNAcentral's name for it is "partial 16S ribosomal RNA". It matches the Rfam family "Bacterial small subunit ribosomal RNA", at positions 524 to 776 of the family's 1533-position model. The record is from RNAcentral.
UACGAAGGGGGCUAGCGUUGCUCGGAAUUACUGGGCGUAAAGCGCACGUAGGCGGAUUGUUAAGUCGGGGGUGAAAUCCCAGGGCUCAACCCUGGAACUGCCUCCGAUACUGGCAUUCUGGAGUCCGGGAGAGGUGAGUGGAAUUCCGAGUGUAGAGGUGAAAUUCGUAGAUAUUCGGAAGAACACCAGUGGCGAAGGCGGCUCACUGGCCCGGAACUGACGCUGAGGUGCGAAAGCGUGGGGAGCAAACAGG